This 253-nucleotide ribosomal RNA is filed under the name uncultured bacterium. Its description in RNAcentral is "partial 16S ribosomal RNA". It matches the Rfam family "Bacterial small subunit ribosomal RNA", at positions 524 to 776 of the family's 1533-position model. The record is from RNAcentral.
UACGUAGGGGGCAAGCGUUAUCCGGAUUUACUGGGUGUGAAGGGAGCGUAGACGGCGAUGCAAGUCUGAAGUGAAAGGCGGGGGCCCAACCCCCGGACUGCUUUGGAAACUGUAUGGCUGGAGUGCAGGAGAGGUAAGUGGAAUUCCUAGUGUAGCGGUGAAAUGCGUAGAUAUUAGGAGGGACACCAGUGGCGAAGGCGGCUUACUGGACUGUAACUGACGUUGAGGCUCGAAAGCGUGGGGAGCAAACAGG